RNAcentral lists this ribosomal RNA (122 nucleotides) under Lepisosteus oculatus (spotted gar). The record is from RNAcentral. Lineage: Eukaryota; Metazoa; Chordata; Actinopteri; Semionotiformes; Lepisosteidae.
GCCAGCAGCCAUGUCACCCUGCAAUUUACAACUGGCAACCCACUGAAGCUAAGCAGGUGUGAGCCUGGUCAGUACCUGGAUGGGAGACCUCCUGGGGAAAAAAACUAAGGUUGCUGCUGGAA